This 242-nucleotide long non-coding RNA is filed under the name Ananas comosus (pineapple). RNAcentral's name for it is "long non-coding RNA (ACOM_LNC004982)". Lineage: Eukaryota; Viridiplantae; Streptophyta; Magnoliopsida; Poales; Bromeliaceae. The record is from RNAcentral.
UUACGUCAUUAGCAGUGGUGGUGAGGACGGCGGGUUUCCAGAAGUGGGUUUGGUGGGUGAAAAGUUUACUGCAGUGGAGAUGAAUGUAGAGGUGGGUCGCGAAAGGCCACGGAGACGGUGGAGGAGAUUUAGAGAGAAAAUAAAGAGAAUCGUGGCGCAGUCUCGGCGGGAUCGGAGGCGAGGAGGGCGGGGGAUGAGCGAGCGCGGGCGAGAGCACAUGGGGCGAAGGCGAGGAAGGGUGU